AUACGGAGGGUGCAAACGUUGUUCGGAAUCACUGGGCGUAAAGGGCGCGUAGGCGGUGACUUAAGCGUGUGGUGAAAGCCCGGGGCUCAACCCCGGGUCGGCCGUGCGAACUGGGUCACUCGAGCACUGUAGAGGCAGGUGGAAUUCCGGGUGUAGCGGUGGAAUGCGUAGAGAUCCGGAAGAACACCAGUGGCGAAGGCGGCCUGCUGGGCAGUAGCUGACGCUGAGGCGCGAAAGCGUGGGGAGCAAACAGGAUUAGAAACCCUAGUAGUCC
RNAcentral lists this ribosomal RNA (274 nucleotides) under uncultured bacterium. RNAcentral describes it as "partial 16S ribosomal RNA". It matches the Rfam family "Bacterial small subunit ribosomal RNA", at positions 523 to 796 of the family's 1533-position model. The record is from RNAcentral.